CCUACUGGUGGCUGCAGUGAGGAAUAUUGGUCAAUGGCCGGAAGGCUGAACCAGCCAUGCCGCGUGAAGGUCAGUGCCCUAUGGGCGUUAAACUUCUUUUGUGCGGGAGCAAUAAUGGUCACGUGUGGCCAGACGAGAGUACCGUACGAAUAAGCAUCGGGUAACUCCGUGCCAGCAGCCGCGGUCAUACGGGGGGUGCCAGCGUUAUCCGGGUUUAUUUGGGUUAAAGGGGGAGUAGGCUGUGAGGUAAGUCAGCGGUGAAAUGCCCCCGCUCAACGGGGUGAAGUGCCAUUGAUACUGGCUUGCUGGAAUGCGGAUGACGUGGGAGGAAUGUGUGGUGUAGCGGUGAAAUGCAUAGAUAUCACACAGAACACCGAUUGCGAAGGCAUCUCACGAAUCCGCGAUUGACGCUGAUGCACGAAAGCGUGGGUAUCAAACAGGAUUAGAUACCCUUGUAGUC
This 460-nucleotide ribosomal RNA is filed under the name uncultured bacterium. RNAcentral describes it as "partial 16S ribosomal RNA". It matches the Rfam family "Bacterial small subunit ribosomal RNA", at positions 338 to 795 of the family's 1533-position model. The record is from RNAcentral.